RNAcentral lists this ribosomal RNA (433 nucleotides) under uncultured bacterium. RNAcentral's name for it is "partial 16S ribosomal RNA". It matches the Rfam family "Bacterial small subunit ribosomal RNA", at positions 29 to 507 of the family's 1533-position model. The record is from RNAcentral.
AACGAACGCUGGCGGCAUGCCUAACACAUGCAAGUCGAACGAGACCUUCGGGUCUAGUGGCGCACGGGUGCGUAACGCGUGGGAACCUGCCCUUAGGUUCGGAAUAACUCCCCGAAAGGGGUGCUAAUACCGGAUAAUGUCUUCGGACCAAAGAUUUAUCGCCUUUGGAUGGGCCCGCGUUGGAUUAGCUUGUUGGUAGGGUAAAAGCCUACCAAGGCGACGAUCCAUAGCUGGUCUGAGAGGAUGAUCAGCCACACUGGGACUGAGACACGGCCCAGACUCCUACGGAAGGCAGGAGUGGGGAAUAGUGGACAAUGGGCGGAAGGCUGAAGCAGCAAUGCCGCGUGAGUGAUGAAGGCCUUAGGGUUGUAAAGCUCUUUUACCCGGGCUGAUAAUGACAGUACCGGGAGAAUAAGCUCCGGCUAACUCCGUG